Molecule: transfer RNA, 20 nt
Filed under: Plethodon cinereus (red-backed salamander)
Lineage: Eukaryota; Metazoa; Chordata; Amphibia; Caudata; Plethodontidae
Description: partial tRNA-Trp
Source: RNAcentral
AGAAAUUUAAGUUAACAGAC